Long non-coding RNA from Betta splendens (Siamese fighting fish), 1784 nucleotides. RefSeq lists it as uncharacterized. The record is from RefSeq and is a predicted model, not a curated record. Lineage: Eukaryota; Metazoa; Chordata; Actinopteri; Anabantiformes; Osphronemidae. The transcript is spliced from 2 exons.
ACAGGUCUACGUCACUGACUGGCGUUAGAACCGGCCAAUCGCUGGCGGAGCUGGGCCACACUGGAAACUUUCUAAGCCAAUCGGGACGCGCAGAACGCGGGAUUUUGACAUGUGACAUCUGAAAACAAAUGCGUGACGUUGUACGGUUGCAGUUGAACGAGGAGUGGCAGCUGUGAUGGGUCUUUAUGACCAGAGACCCCGCAGUUGCCUGAAACAUCAAACUCCACAGAUUGCAGAUGGACCAUCACUGGUCUCCAGCCUGCGUUUGACUCGUCGGUCAGUGGGAGACGUGCUGCUCAACACACUCUGGGAACAAGGGCUGAGCACCCUGCUGGGAUGAGGGUUGUUCUGAUCAGGAGAUCCGUGGCUCGGGACAAGCCAUUGCUUGAUAGAAGACGGUGUUGUUCGGCAAACAGAAGCAGCCUUGGGAGCAUGAGGCGAAAUAGGUGAAGUGGUGCUGGAGGGCAGAGGCAGGGCAGCCCCACUGGGAGCACAGGAAGCCAGCUGAGGUGAGGCCAAGCCUCCAAGACUCUCUGUCCUCUGGACUUUUGCAGGAGUCGUCUCAACUCUGAUGGAAGGUCCUUAACAACAGAAAUGCAUGUUUUAAUUUUUUUUUUAAUUUAACAUUUUAAGUCAAAAGGUAUGAAAGCAGCUCUCUGCAGAAAAACAUUUUAGUGAACCACAUACUAAGCAAAUUAAAUUGCAGAGGCCAGAAAAUUAUAUGCUUAGAUUUCCUGGGUAAAAGGCAGAUAAUCAUAUAAAGCACUAUUUUCAAUGACACUGUAGGAAAAUUCGUCAAUUCUUUACACUGAUCAAAGACUGGUUGAAAUACAUACUUGUGGGAGACUUCGGCUGUGCCCAGCCCACAAGGUUGCCAUCACCCACUGCAGACUCCGUUCCAUCCGUUUCCCGGUGAAGCCUCCAAAUCCGAAAUGUGUGGUCAUCAGAACAGGAAGCAAUCUGCCAACAUCGCAGCUGAGGUUAUGUAGAUUCCAAAUUCUUUCCUUUCUUUCCUGGCCUUUGUAAGACUACACUUUAAAGCAGCAAAAUUCAAAACCUAUAACCCGAUCCUCGAAAGGGAAGGAAAGCCAUGUAGCUGGAUUAUGUUGUUCUGACCAUUCCUUAAAAAAAAAAAAAAAAAAAAAAAAAUAUUGGAAUUGGCUGCCUUACCUUGGUAAAAUCUGUUGGGCACCAUGCAACAGACGUCACUUCCUCACUAUGCCCCUGAAGUAUCAUGGGAGGAUGUUGAGGAUCAGAGAUCUGGAAUUAAAAAAAGUUAAAACAUAAAACAUCUCAUUAGCCUCAAACAAGGACAAAUAAAAUAUAAAAGGGCAAAUUUAAUACUUGAAGACAAUAUUACCUUCCAUAUGUAUGUGUGAUUAUCACUUGACCCACUGGCCAAGAACUGAUCAUCUGGGCUGAUAGAGGACUUUAUAUAAAAUGAAGAGUUCUGGUGGCCACUGAAAACUGCCACUGUGGAACAAAAUGUAAAUUAUUAAAGCCUCAAGCCGCACUGCAAUGAUAUUAAUGUCACAGUGUUUUACAAAAUGGAUGCCUGGCAUGCAUUAAUCAAUCUGGUGCUAGUUGUGACUUAAGCUUGCAUAAGCACACAAAGCAUCUGUGUGUUUCCUCUGUACUCGACAAGGCCCUGUUGCUUUACCUUCUACAACACUAUAUUUGUUUGCAGCCCCAUCUAGUGACAUGCAAUGGUAACAAAGCCGAACUGAAAAAUGCAUAUUUUAGAACAGGUCCAAUAAAUACUGCUUGCAGAGGCUGAGACUUUA